RNAcentral lists this ribosomal RNA (448 nucleotides) under uncultured bacterium. RNAcentral's name for it is "partial 16S ribosomal RNA". It matches the Rfam family "Bacterial small subunit ribosomal RNA", at positions 29 to 523 of the family's 1533-position model. The record is from RNAcentral.
AACGAACGCUGGCGGCAGGCUAACACAUGCAAGUCGAACGAGACCUUCGGGUCUAGUGGCGCACGGGUGCGUAACGCGUGGGAAUCUGCCCCUUGGUUCGGAAUAACAGUUAGAAAUGACUGCUAAUACCGGAUGAUGACUUCGGUCCAAAGAUUUAUCGCCAAGGGAUGAGCCCGCGUAGGAUUAGGUAGUUGGUGGGGUAAAGGCUCACCAAGCCGACGAUCCUUAGCUGGUCUGAGAGGAUGAUCAGCCACACUGGGACUGAGACACGGCCCAGACUCCUACGGGAGGCAGCAGUGGGGAAUAUUGGACAAUGGGCGAAAGCCUGAUCCAGCAAUGCCGCGUGAUUGAUGAAGUCCUUAGGGUUGUAAAGCUCUUUUACCAGGGAUGAUAAUGACAGGACCUGGAGAAUAAGCUCCGGCUAACUCCGUGCCAGCAGCCGCGGUAA